UACGUAGGGUGCGAGCGUUAAUCGGAAUUACUGGGCGUAAAGCGUGCGCAGGCGGUGAUGUAAGACAGAUGUGAAAUCCCCGGGCUCAACCUGGGAACUGCAUUUGUGACUGCAUAGCUAGAGUGCGGCAGAGGGAGAUGGAAUUCCGCGUGUAGCAGUGAAAUGCGUAGAUAUGCGGAGGAACACCGAUGGCGAAGGCAAUCUCCUGGGCCUGCACUGACGCUCAUGCACGAAAGCGUGGGGAGCAAACAGG
Molecule: ribosomal RNA, 253 nt
Filed under: uncultured bacterium
Lineage: Bacteria
Description: partial 16S ribosomal RNA
Rfam family: Bacterial small subunit ribosomal RNA
Source: RNAcentral